RNAcentral lists this unclassified non-coding RNA (344 nucleotides) under Hevea brasiliensis (rubber tree). The record is from RNAcentral. Lineage: Eukaryota; Viridiplantae; Streptophyta; Magnoliopsida; Malpighiales; Euphorbiaceae.
AGCACUGUAAAGAUUGCCCAGGUAUGUCAUCCAUUUUCCUUGUUUAGUUUGUUAGUCUUAUCAAUUUUCUCCUUUUGUCAGUUGUUCAUUCUGGAAAACCGUGGAUCUGAUUGGUAAAGCUUUUUUGGCACAUUGCAUUGUUUACAUCGCUUUCAAAUGGUACCUCAACAGACGUAGAUAAGUAGGUUCUUUACCAUGACAAAAAAAAAGGUCCUUUGUUUAUGGUAAAAUUGAUCUUUGAAAAAUGGUGUCUGCAUAAUUCUUGCUACUACUCUUACAUGCUUGAUGGUAAUUGGUAGAAUGUUACAAUGGUGUUAUAUGAUGGUAAUUGGUAGAAUGUUACA